GGCGAACGCUGGCGGCGUGCUUAACACAUGCAAGUCGAACGGAAAGGCCCUGCUUGCAGGGUACUCGAGUGGCGAACGGGUGAGUAACACGUGGGUGAUCUGCCCUGCACUUCGGGAUAAGCCUGGGAAACUGGGUCUAAUACCGGAUAGGAGCCAUUUUUAGUGUGAUGGUUGGAAAGUUUUUUCGGUGUAGGAUGAGCUCGCGGCCUAUCAGCUUGUUGGUGGGGUAAUGGCCUACCAAGGCGGCGACGGGUAGCCGGCCUGAGAGGGUGGACGGCCACAUUGGGACUGAGAUACGGCCCAGACGCCUACGGGAGGCAGCAGUGGGGAAUAUUGCACAAUGGGCGCAAGCCUGAUGCAGCGACGCCGCGUGGGGGAUGACGGCCUUCGGGUUGUAAACUCCUUUCGCCAGGGACGAAGCUUUUUGUGACGGUACCUAGAUAAGAAGCACCGGCUAACUACGUG
Molecule: ribosomal RNA, 465 nt
Filed under: uncultured bacterium
Lineage: Bacteria
Description: partial 16S ribosomal RNA
Rfam family: Bacterial small subunit ribosomal RNA
Source: RNAcentral